RNAcentral lists this unclassified non-coding RNA (231 nucleotides) under plant metagenome. RNAcentral's name for it is "partial contains small subunit ribosomal RNA, internal transcribed spacer 1, and 5.8S ribosomal RNA". The record is from RNAcentral.
UCUCCGUUGGUGAACCAGCGGAGGGAUCAUUACUGAGUUACCGCUCUACAACCCUUUGUGAACAUACCUAACUGUUGCUUCGGCGGGCAGAGGUCCCUCGCGGAUCUCUCCCGGCAACGCCCUCACGGGCGGAGCGCCCGCCGGAGGAUACCAAACUCUAUUUUAACGACGUUUCUUCUGAGUGACACAAGCAAAUAAUUAAAACUUUUAACAACGGAUCUCUUGGUUCUG